GUAGGUGAACCUGCGGAAGGAUCAUUAUCGUAGGGCUUCGGCCCUGUCGAGAUAGAACCCUUGCCUUUAUGAGUACCGUCCGUUUCCUCGGCAGGCCCGCCUGCCGAUGGACCCAAAACCAAACCCUUUUAUUACCUGUAUCAGUCUGAAAAAUAAACAAAAAUUAAAACUUUCAACAACGGAUCUCUUGGUUCUG
RNAcentral lists this unclassified non-coding RNA (196 nucleotides) under rhizosphere metagenome. RNAcentral's name for it is "partial ribosomal RNA internal transcribed spacer region". The record is from RNAcentral.